Molecule: ribosomal RNA, 320 nt
Filed under: uncultured eukaryote
Lineage: Eukaryota
Description: partial 18S ribosomal RNA
Rfam family: Eukaryotic small subunit ribosomal RNA
Source: RNAcentral
CCCUUAGAUGUUCUGGGCCGCACGCGUGCUACACUGACCGGUGCAACAAGUUUCUUUCCUUGGCUCGAUAGGCCUGGGUAAUCUUUGAACACCGGUCGUGAUGGGGAUAGAUCCUUGCAAUUUUUGAUCUUCAACGAGGAAUUCCUAGUAAAUGCGAGUCAUCAUCUCGCGUUGAUUACGUCCCUGCCCUUUGUACACACCGCCCGUCGCUCCUACCGAUUGGGUGCUCCGGUGAAUUGUUUGGACUGCUGUCAGUCUUUUUGGCUGUCGGCGAGAAGCUCUGUGAACCUUAGCACCUAGAGGAAGGAGAAGUCGUAACA